Molecule: non-coding RNA, 26 nt
Filed under: Drosophila virilis
Lineage: Eukaryota; Metazoa; Arthropoda; Insecta; Diptera; Drosophilidae
Also listed under: 1 other name
Source: RNAcentral
UCUGAAUGUCCAAGACAGAGACUCAA